AUCUGCUUUGUCUUCAAAUAGAAUAGCUACCCUUGCUUUUUUCUGGGUUCCUGUCAAAUGGAAUACUGUUUUUCAACCCUUGACUUUCAGUCUGUGAAUUUGUUUUUGAAUUAAAUAUGUUUCUUGUAUGCCGCAUAUUGUUGGAUCUUGCUUCUUCAUCCUUUCUGACAGUCUGUUUUUUUGAUUGGUCCUUGUCCAUGGCUGUGUUACUUUUGCUGUUACCACUUCAGAGAGUUCCAGGAGAGAAGAUUUAAAAUGGGUUAGGGGUUUUUAAAAAAAAGAGAACUAGAAGAAGAGGAAGAGAUCAGAAGCAAGGCUGGAGGACAAACUUUAGGAAACUGGUGAAGAAGACAGGUGAGAAAGAGAAAAGAAAAAAAUAAAAAAUAAAAACAAGAACAGAACAACAAAAUCUGGGCCAGGGAUUUAGCUCAGUGGCACUGCGGCUGCCUUGCAAGUGCAAGAUCCUGAGUUUGAUCCUUGGUACUGAAAAAGAAAAAGGAAAAGGAAAAGAAAAGAACCAGAAAGGAGGGAAAAAAAGGAAAAGAAAAAAACACAAAGAAAACAAAAAACCCAAAAAGUCCAAUUCAAGAUGUGUCUCUGCCGUCACUAAUAGGCAGCAUGGGCAAAGAGUUAGAGCUCAGUUGAUUAAUCCUAGAACACCAGCCACAGCUUCAUGUUGGGUUAGUGGAUGAUCCCAGUCAGCCUGCCCUCUUAUUUCUCCUGAAGUUCAGGUCAGUUUCUGUCUAUGAGGCUGGAACUGGAUUCCUUGAGCCUACAACAGUCUAUGUAUCUCCUGCCAACUUGAACUCCACUCCCUGGCCUCCCGCUGUCUUGAAUUCAGCACCAGCACCAAGGCACCCAGAGCCACUAGAUAGGGUCAGCCAGAAGUUGUUCUGAGUUCUGAGCUCAGCUGGCCCCUCUCCAAGAUGGCUACCAGCCAGAGGAACAGAGCUUCGUGGGUGCCAGCAGCACCGCUCCCCACCACCCCCACGGCUGGGCUGUGCCAGUACCUGGAUCCACACUGCAGAAGUGCAGGGGGUCAUAAAGGCCAUGCCCUGAGCUCAGAAGAUAGAGCAGAAGUAAACAACCGAAAGAGGGCCUCUCUCAGGCUCCCUCAUGAAAACUGAAGCCCACUGGAAAAGGGAAGAGAAUCUCUGCAAUAAAGGCACACCAGACCACCUUACUUGGGAGAACAACUGAGAGCUCUUCAUGCUACUGACAACUUACAGUGAAGAUGAAAAUUGAAUGUUAAUAAAUGUGAACCUAUCACUUUGAUGGCUUUCCAACACAAGAAGACUUCAGCUCUGGAACAGAGAUGCUCAAGAUCAAAGCGCCAGCAGACUCAGUGCCUGGUGAGGAUCCACCGCCAGGGCUUGGACAGCCGCGUUCUCGCCUCAUCCUAUGUGCCGGAAGCGGGCAGGCGCUCUCUGACGUCACUCCUACAAGAGCGCUGAUCCCAGCUCCAUGACCCCAUCCUUGAGACCUAAGCACCCGCCAGAGGUUUCAGCACAUGAUUUUAUCACAUUGGAGUUGAAGAUUUCAAUUUAUGAUGGGGGGGGCAUUCAGUUCAUUGCAAUAGCGAAAAUCAGUAUUUCUUCCUUUUCCACAUUUCAGUUCUAAGCCUCCUAUUUUCUCCAUGUCCUAUGUCUUGUAAGCAAUCUUAUACAACCCUCUGUUCUGAUUCUCAGUGUACCCUUCUUUAUCAUUGUGAUGCUCAGAUAUGCAUGUCUUUAUCAUUAAUUUAGCUGCCCCAGCCUAUUGUAUAGGCAUUUGUAUUUCACUGUUUCCAACUUAAUUUGGUUCUCACUUCCAGAGAUUUCCAUGGAAGUUUUCUUUCUAAUUUAUAAUUGGAUGAAAAAUCUAUGUUUUAAAAAUUUGAAUACUAGGCCUUUCUGUCAAAUAAAAUCCCUUGAUUUCUUACUUCCUCACUCUAUCUGCCAAAUGGUAACCAAAUAAGUUUUUAUUCAUAACUUGAAUAUGAUUAUUCAGCUACUUAAUCUACUUGACCAUUUGACUGUUCAAUUUUCUAUCUUAGAAUUCUUCGUUAUCCUCCCCAAAUAAUGCCAUAUUUGACAAACUAGGGCCCUUUGACCAAAGAAAGCGGUGCUAUACAUUCUUCUAUCUUAAUAAUCUGACUGUUAAUCAAAGAGAAAACAAUUUUUUAAGUAACUGCAUGUCUCUAUUAUUGGGCUUCAAGUUUUAUCUUUUUUUCCCUCAUUUAGAAAAAUUCUGCUCUUCUCCAGAUAAUUUACUCCAAGAAGUACACUUCGGUUUUUGGAAAUGAAUCAAAUCACUCUCCCAUUCUCUUUUAAUUGUCUCUCACAUACUUUUCUGGCCAAUAAAUCCCAAAUUUUAAUUGAUGUUCCCCUGAUUUGUCCUCAGAAUGGAAUCAGAGUAAAAGAAACUCUGUCCUGUGAUUCCUUUUUACUUGAAAAUUUCAUCCCCUGAAGUGAGGUUUUGUCUUGAUUAAUCUCUCCCUUCCUCUUUCUCUCUCCCUCUCUCCUUCUUGCUAUUUCCCUCCAGCUCUCUGUCUCUCUCCUUCUUUAGCUAGGUUUUUCGUGUUCCAGGGCUCCAGGCCUGAUCAUCAACACUGCUCAUUUAUUAUUUCCCAAAUGCCAGUGAAAACCCUCAGGGCCCUGAGAUGCUGAAACUUGUCUCCUAUCAGAUCUCAGGGUGUAUUCUGUAAUUGUUAGUAUACCUGUGUCUUAGCUCUCAGUUAGAUUGUAAAUCCUUUAAGGACAAGAAUUGAGUCUACUUCUUUGAUUUGCAAAGCAGAUGCCACACUCACUGGCAUUUUGUAAGUAAAUUUUGGCUCAGUAACUCCAGAGCUGAGCUCCAAAGGGAAGCCACAUGUGGCCAGUGGUCAGGCCCUGGUGAUCUCUGGUUUAAUUUUCACUUUAAAAAUUUACAUAGAAGAAUUUCCUGGAAAUAGAUUUGGAGAGUUGUGACUAGCACUAAAAAUAAGUAAAAUAUAAGCUCAGAUACAAUAUUCCAGUGAAUUUCUCCUAGUGAGGAAAAUCAGGCUUUGAAAGCAUUGUGGUCUAGGAUGAGGAAUCAAGUAGAUCCUUGAUCUGGAGUCACUCAGGUUGUUGACAGAGGAGCUGAUGUAGAGAUUUGCAAAGGAGCCUCUGUAAAAUCAUGAGCAACUUUUUGUGGCUUUUGCUCCUUGGCCCGUCAGUCUAAGUGUGAGGUCUAAGCACACACUGGGUUACUUCUUGGGCCUUGUUAAAUAGCUCAUUCCUUUGUUCGGAACAGUUAGAUGUUCUGAGAGGAUUCCAAACACUGAUGGAAGUCUCAGGGUGAACACAGCCUAUAAAUCUUCCCAAGGGUUUUCAUUUACCCAAAUGGGAAGUUAAUUAUCACUGACAUAAACUGCAAAGAUCAACAACCUCCAAUUAAUUUUAACAAAUGUCCAGGGAGUGCCAAGAUCGUGUGGGCUGAAGACAAAGCUUACGCCUUAGAAAAACUUAGAUCAAAUACAGAGGUGGCUAAACUAUAGACCUCAGGCCAAAGCUGGCCUACUGCCUACUUGUGUAAAUAAAGUUUUAUUGGAAUUCAGCCAGAUGCAUUUGUGCUUUUAUUGUCUGUGGCAGAUUUUGCACAGCUAUGCACAACUGAGUAUAGUUUCAGCAGAGAUCAUGUGGCUGCUCCUUUAUAGAAAAAGUUUGCCAAUCUCAUCUAAUAAAACACAAAAAAUUGAUUAAAAUAGUGUUCUAUGAGAAUUCCAUAUGAAAAUGACAUUGUCAAUAUAAUAUUUUCCUCAUUUAUAUGACUAAAUAACUUAUUUCACCAUCUGAUGGAAAGCCUUAAAAGGACAGAAGAAAGUUUCCCUUUUGAAAACUUAGUGAGAAAAAAACAUUGUGGUCUUUAUGAAAUGGCAUUUCAUGGUUUUCUGUCUUACACAUACAUAAUCACACUGACCAGAACUUGAAUGUUUGACUGCAAAAUGCCGAUAUUAUCAGUGUCUCUCUCUGACACACCCAACCACCCCCACACAUAUAUACACGCACACAAAUCCAGUGCUACGUCAGCUGAAUAUCAGAUCAAAGACCACCAGGGGACUCUCCAUCAGUGUGGGUCACCGUCAUCAUAUGCAGGGCCUCGGUGCCUGGCACUGUUAUUUUUGAGCCAAUAUUUAUUUGUGAAAUUAACUUACUAGCAUGUCUGAAAUUGUACUUGGUAGCACUAGGGUUCCUGUCCUGCACGAGAACCCACUGGAGAAGCAGCUUCCACCCUCGCAUGGACCCAUGGGCCUGUGUGCACAGGUCACCCCAAUUCCUACCGUUCCCCAACUCAGGGGAGGUGUCAGCUGCCAUUGCCAGCAUGCUCAGCAAAGAGAUUUCUCUGCAGCCAUUCUUUUAGAAACAGGAUAACAAAAGAUUCACCAAGAAGACUGUUUAAACAAUGAGUUUUCCUACCUGUUUAGUAUUCAAGCAAAGGGUAUGCUGUCUGCAGUCUCUUUACUCUUUUAUGUUCUUUCCCAACCCCUGUAGAUAGGAUAAUUUGAGACCAGUGUCUUAGACUCAUAAGGAAAAGCAGAGUUGAAAUGAUUUUAGAGAAAAGAUAUCCAAAGAGAAGUGAAUUGAAGAUAAACUUGGAGGUUUAGAGAGAAAAUAUUAGCAUUUAUAUGUUUUAUUGCUUUCUACAUCUGCAUUUUAUUAGUAUAUAACAGUCAAAAAUUAGAACUCAUAUGAAUACGUAAACAUAUCUAGAAGCUGACUCAAAAUUGAGGGAUAGAAGCAUAUUGUGACACAAGGAUGAAGACCAUAGUCUUGGGGACUGGAAGGGGAUCUGAGAGCUCGUUACAUCCAAACCUUCAUUGUAGAAAUCGAGCACCCAAAGCACCAGAAGGUGGGACAAGCAGGUGAAGGGCACAUAGCAUAGACUAGUUCUUCUAAAUCCCACUCACGUGUUCACAAGUCAUGGAGACCACUAUGGUGAUAAAUAAUCGCCCUGCAAUAACCGGGCAACUUGUAGGAAACUGUCAGCCCGCUUCCUCCAGCGAAGCACAAAUUUCAGGUGGUGGUACCCAGAAUACUUUGCCCUUUUUUUGUGAAAAAUGGCAUCUGAUCAAUCUUGCCUGCUGCCAGGAGAGGCCGUGAGCUAUGGCUGUGUUCUCAUUGGCCAGCUCUCCUUGGCCUGCAUCUGCCUGCUUUUCCUGUGGAAAUAAAAUAUAUGGGCAGGAGAAAGGACAUAUUUGGUAAUGUUACGCUCCUCAGCUUCCUGCUCGGGGCUGUCUCAGCUGCAAAAUGUCAAGGGAAAAAAUAUCCCUCCAACUUGGAAUGAAUUCCAGACAGACCCUGAUGCCUGCAAAUUGGUCGGAGGGAGCCAAGUCCGGAGUAAGCGAACAUGAAGAAGGCUCAUUAUGUGACUUCAAGAGACGCUCACAUAAUCAGACACUCUGGUAUUUAUGACUUUCCCCCAUUUCAGAUGGUCUGUAGCUCACAGCUCUCCCCUCCCUUUACCGCCGAUUCUGAGCUUCCUUUUAAAUUAAACCUCAACAGUUAUAAAAAGACUCUCACAUUACUUCUAAGCCACAAGUCCUACCAGGAGACACUCUGUUCAUACAGGGCUGUUAGGGCUGGAAAAGGGCAGCUCUUUUUGAUUAUUAGUCUGGGGAGGGCAGGCCAGGAAGUGAGACUCACUUUACCUUGACCACACGGCAGAAGUCCUCAUCGGGUUCCCAUGUUUGUGCCAGCUCUCUGCCACUCACAGCGCUGAACAUGACGAUCUUUACUGAAAAGUACUUAUUUAUUUCCAUUAGCUUUCUUUUUCAUUUUGGCUCUACUUUUCAUCAGAGGGCAUGGACUAACCAGUGUAUCCUGACACUCCCAGUGUAUGAAUAUAUCACGGGGACUGUGUGUAAGAUUGAAUUUUGGAGGAUCUUUAUCUUUUUGCUGGCAUUCAGUACUUUUUCUCCCCCUCUUUUAACCCAAUUGCCACAUGUUGGCAAAGAGGGAAGGAAAUAGUUUGUAACCCAAACCUCAUUCAAUUCCUGCAUACACAUUUUCCUGUCAGCUUCUUGCUCUUCAUUUCUAAAUGCUAUGGUGUUUGUACUUGGUCAUCCCCAGUCCUUAUUUGGGUUCUCCAAGAAGCACGGAAGCAUCCAAGAAUCAGUUUUAGCAACUGGUGGAAGAGCCCACAUGGGAAAUGUGGUGAUCCGUCUUAACAUGUGGUCUCUAGGAAUAAGGGUCUCCUUUUUCUCUCUCCCUCCACUGUCCAGCACCUUUACACUGGUUUUGCCCCUCAACAGUCUAGGGUUUGUGCUACUUCCAUGGUGAUCAACUGUUAGGUCAUAAACAUCAGAUGUGGCAUCACUGAAUGAGUCAGUGGGG
Long non-coding RNA from Heterocephalus glaber (naked mole-rat), 6335 nucleotides. NCBI's taxonomy places the organism in Eukaryota, Metazoa, Chordata, Mammalia, Rodentia, Bathyergidae. The record is from Ensembl.